AACCCUUGUCUUUAGUUGCCAUCAUUAAGUUGGGCACUCUAAAGAGACUGCCGGUGUCAAACCGGAGGAAGGUGGGGAUGACGUCAAGUCCUCAUGGCCUUUAUGACCAGGGCUACACACGUACUACAAUGGCAGGUACAAAGGGCAGCCACUUAGCGAUAAGGCGCGAAUCCCGUAAAACCUGUCUCAGUCCGGAUUGGAGUCUGCAACUCGACUCCAUGAAGUUGGAAUCGCUAGUAAUCGCAGAUCAGCACGCUGCGGUCGAAUACGUUCCCGGGCCUU
RNAcentral lists this ribosomal RNA (282 nucleotides) under uncultured Desulfocapsa sp. RNAcentral's name for it is "partial 16S ribosomal RNA". It matches the Rfam family "Bacterial small subunit ribosomal RNA", at positions 1100 to 1382 of the family's 1533-position model. Lineage: Bacteria; Pseudomonadati; Thermodesulfobacteriota; Desulfobulbia; Desulfobulbales; Desulfocapsaceae. The record is from RNAcentral.